UACACUCAUUAGUUCGUUGCCUUCCGCAGGGCCGCAAUCCUAUCUGGUGUUUUUUGUUUUGUCGCAAUUUUGUGCGCUCUGUCGGUGGAAGUAGCUCUACCGCUGGUACAAUGGCCAUUCCUUCCUCGUCAUUGAUAGGGUCGUCUUCCUUCCCCUCCUUCUCGUCCUCCUCUUCCUCCUGCAUUGGCUCCUCGGUGGCGUGGGUUGCUGCCCCCUGUCCAUCGGGUCCUCCGCUAGUCUCGUCUCCCCCGAGGGAAUCCGGCAGCUUCCUGUGCGCCCGUCCCUCGAGAUCCUUCUGUGACUGUGGCUUGAACUUGAGAGGGAAAGGGAAAUGGAAGAGAAUUCCGGCGAUGGCGGACUCGGACAGCCAGGGUGUUGCUCCCUUGCCCAGGGAGCUCGCUGUUCUUCUCGAAAUCGAAGGGGUGCUUGUGGAUUUCUAUCACUCAGGCAAUCGACAAGCCUUUAAUGAAGCUUUUCAGAAACUGGGGUUGGAUUGUGCAAAUUGGACUGAUCCAAUAUAUAUAGACCUUGCAAGAAAGUCUGGAGGUGAUGAUGAAAGAAUGCUGAUCUUAUUUUUCAACAAGAUUGGGUGGCCCACAUCACUACCAACCAAUGAGAAGGAAUCAUUUGUUCGUAAAAUUCUACAAGAGAAGCGGAAUGCAUUGGAUGACUAUGUGAGGACAAAGGAUUUGCCAGUGCGACCUGGAGCUUUAAAUUUUAUUGAGGAGGCACUUGAAAUGGAUAUUCCAGUGAUUCUUCUCACUGCAUACAGUAAGAAUGGAGAAAAAGUUUCCAGGUCUAUCUCUCAGAAGUUGGGUCUGGAAAAGUUAUCCAAGAUAAAGAUUGUUGGGAAGGAUGAGGUUGGAAACAGUUUAUAUGGUCAAGUGGUUCUUGGUAAAGGAGUUGCAUCUAGUUUGGAUGAACAGUUAAUGAAAGAGGCAAGAAAAGCUGCUUCUGCUCAGAAACAAAAAAUUGCAGAGGAGGUUGCAUCCGUGUUGAAAUUGAGUGUAGAGAUUGAUACAACCUCAGCUGAAAUUUUAGAAAAUAUCGUAGCAACACUACGUGCUGGAGCAGAAAGUGCAGGCCUGCCUGUAGACCAGUGUGUUCUGGUGGCAGGAAGCCUAUCUGGAGCACUUGCAGCUGAGCGCAUAGGCAUGCCCUGUGUGCUGCUUCGAAGCAGAGUUACUUCUAGAGCUGAGUUCCCUACAACAGCAACUGUAAUGGAAGGCUUUGGUGGUUCAGACCUUACAGUUUUUAAAUUACAGAACAAGAAAUGGAGUUCGAGCUUUUGAUAAUUAUAUUCCUGGAAGGCCUUAGCUAUUAUGCUUUUUUGUAGCUGAUUGUUUCAUGAAGUGUGGGAGAAACCUGCUCACAAGCUAGGGAAGUUACAGAGGCAAGCAGUAUAUAGGAGGAUGGUCGGAGAAUGGGACCGGGGAGGAUUUCCAGCUCAGUUUCGAAAGAAUCACCUUCUCCAAGCCACUGUGUGGUGAUUGUCAGCCAGCCACAACUGGCAGGGUCGGGGAUUCCUACUCAAAUUCGACUGGACCAAGACCUGGUUGAGGCCCAACCAGCGGAGAGUUACUCUUUGGGUCGGGUUUAUGUUGUGAAAACCAAGAAUGGGCCGAACUGAGACAUCUCAAUGUUUAAGUUGCAUUUUUUGUAACGGAGAGCCUCUCUGGUUCAAUUAUAACAAGUGGUUGUCUCCCUGCUUGUCCAACAGCAGGGACGAAAAAGAAAGAGGAAAUGAGAAGACGAGCUGUAUAAUGAUCUUACCAUACAAUGUGAAGCCACCGUCUUGGAUAACA
Nymphaea colorata (pocket water lily) is the source of this 1805-nucleotide RNA transcript. It is a transcript of the gene named CBBY-like protein, with no coding region annotated. The record is from RefSeq and is a predicted model, not a curated record. Lineage: Eukaryota; Viridiplantae; Streptophyta; Magnoliopsida; Nymphaeales; Nymphaeaceae. The transcript has 13 exons.